This 71-nucleotide transfer RNA is filed under the name Tupanvirus deep ocean. Its description in RNAcentral is "tRNA-Pro". It matches the Rfam family "tRNA". From Rfam's summary of the family: Transfer RNA (tRNA) molecules are approximately 80 nucleotides in length. Their secondary structure includes four short double-helical elements and three loops (D, anti-codon, and T loops). Further hydrogen bonds mediate the characteristic L-shaped molecular structure. tRNAs have two regions of fundamental functional importance: the anti-codon, which is responsible for specific mRNA codon recognition, and the 3' end, to which the tRNAs corresponding amino acid is attached (by aminoacyl-tRNA synthetases). tRNAs cope with the degeneracy of the genetic code in two manners: having more than one tRNA (with a specific anti-codon) for a particular amino acid; and 'wobble' base-pairing, i.e. permitting non-standard base-pairing at the 3rd anti-codon position. The record is from RNAcentral. RNAcentral also lists the same sequence under 1 other name. Lineage: Varidnaviria; Bamfordvirae; Nucleocytoviricota; Megaviricetes; Imitervirales; Mimiviridae.
GGGCUAUUAGUAUAUCGGUAUUAUGCCUGCCCUGGACGCAGGCGAGCCAGGUUCGACUCCUGGAUAGCCCU